RNAcentral lists this long non-coding RNA (725 nucleotides) under Sorghum bicolor (sorghum). RNAcentral's name for it is "long non-coding RNA (SBIC_LNC018506)". Lineage: Eukaryota; Viridiplantae; Streptophyta; Magnoliopsida; Poales; Poaceae. The record is from RNAcentral.
GCACAAGACCUGUCAAGCUGUAGAGUAUGUGGAGCUAUAGGUGGGCUGAAACAAGGAACGAACUAGCACCACGUUAGUUAUAAAAGCGAGCUGAAUAAGCGUUCGACGAUGGUACUGUGCUGUCCUAGGCUAGACCGUGCUAGAGACGCGAGCCUGGACACAAAGGAAAACCACAGCACACCCCCGAAAACAAGGUGGAACAAACCUAAAAUCAAUAUGAAAAACAGCCCCUUUUUUUCUCUUUUGAAUCUUUUCUCUUUUCUUUCUUUUUUUUCUUUUUUUUUGGGCUACCUCAAAAACUGAUUAUAUGAACAAAAGAAUACAAAAGAGCAAUUCGCUACACACACACACUCUCUCUCUCUCUCUAGAGUAAGGCCGAACAAGUAUGGAGUUAUCUUUCUUUUUGGAUCACAGAAGGACUUCGCAACAGAUUUGACAGAGAGAAGAUAUGGUAAUACUCGGCUGUGUAUAGAUGGUGACAAGAACUCAAAACUCUAAAGGACUAGACACUAAGACCAGCAACUCGACACAAACCGAAGCAACGCAAAUUCAACAAGCCCUAACUAAAACGGUACUAGCCAAGGCACAAAGGUUUAAUAGGAUUAUGGAAAAACUAAUCUACUAUAUUUUUUUUGGCUUUUCUGGACUACAGGAAAUUAAUUAAAAACAGCAAAGGAUUAGAAGUCUCUCACCGAAGAACCUUGCUCUGAUUACCAACUGAUGCA